Molecule: non-coding RNA, 844 nt
Organism: Arachis ipaensis
Lineage: Eukaryota; Viridiplantae; Streptophyta; Magnoliopsida; Fabales; Fabaceae
Source: RefSeq, a predicted model, not a curated record
ACAUUCUCAUGUAUUAUUGGUUAUUGCAUAAUAAGUCUGUUAUGUACAUUGUUAACACGUGAAAUAAUUAUGUAUUUAACCGAUGAGUAAGGCUACAUCCAAGUCUUUUUAUAAACCAAGUCCAACCAAGUUUAACAAUAAGAUUUGGAAUAAUGCUAGUCAUAACUAAUUUUUAUUAUAUUAGACUAACUUGGUUAUAUUUAGUUAACAAAAAAACUUAGAUGUGUAGUAUUAAUGCUAAAGAGACAAAAAAAGAAAAAUAGUCCAAACUUGUCUUAUUUAGUAUUCAUUGAUUGUUGUAAUAAUUAAUAAAUGCUAAAUAAAGUAAAUUUUGGUUAAUUUUUUUAGUUAUCAAAUAUUUUCAACUGGAUACAGCAUGUAGUUGAAGUUUGGAUAAAAAUAGGCUUUUAGAAUCACACAAGUAUUUCUUAAGUUUUAUGGUAACAAAGAGUAGAAAUGAUGUAAUAAGUUAAUUAUCUAGAGUUUAAUUCAAACAUGAUAUUUUAUAUUCAAACAAAAUUACAAAAAUACUUAUUUCAUAUGUUAGUAUACGAUUAAACUUAUUGUACGAAAAAUAUGUAAAAAAAGGAUAAUCUAAUUUCGAAAGGGUAUACGAAUAAUUUAGAAAAUUGGUUGCAAGGUUUAUGCCCCUCUUAUAGUUUACGCAUUCGCUUAUUUCUCCUAGAUUUUGGUGGCAUUGGUGAGCAUAUUUAGCUUAUAUAUGUUAUCCUCAAGCUAUGGCUUUAGUGGUAUCUGGAUUGCUUUGUCUAUUUACAUGAGCCUCAGGACAUUUGCUGGCUUUUGGAGGAUAGGUACUAGAUCAGGACCUUGGCACUUCCUGAAG